This 235-nucleotide ribosomal RNA is filed under the name uncultured bacterium. Its description in RNAcentral is "partial 16S ribosomal RNA". It matches the Rfam family "Bacterial small subunit ribosomal RNA", at positions 524 to 752 of the family's 1533-position model. The record is from RNAcentral.
UACGUAGGGUGCAAGCGUUAAUCGGAAUUACUGGGCGUAAAGCGUGCGCAGGCGGUCCGUUAAGACAGAUGUGAAAAUCCCCGGGCUUAACCUGGGGAACUGCAUUUGUGACUGGCGGACUCGAGUAGUGGCAGAGGGGGGGUAGAAUUCCACGUGUAGCAGUGAAAUGCGUAGAGAUGGUGGAGGAAUACCCGAUGGCGAAGGCAGCCCCCUGGGCCAAUACUGACGCUCAUGC